Long non-coding RNA from Perca flavescens (yellow perch), 614 nucleotides. RefSeq lists it as uncharacterized. The record is from RefSeq and is a predicted model, not a curated record. The transcript has 3 exons. Lineage: Eukaryota; Metazoa; Chordata; Actinopteri; Perciformes; Percidae.
AAUUAAUUUGCAGCCCUAAAUAGAUUUAUUACAAUAAAAGAAAAAAGAUAGACCUGUUGAGGGAUUCCUCAGUCUCACAAAAGCUGGGUCACUGUCGUUCUUCUGUGUGUCGAUGACAGAGUCUGUAGACACCAAAAAAAAAAGCUGCUUAAGGGAACGUCUGUGUUUCUGACUGCCAGGGAGAACAACAGCGGCCUUUCUGAUGCGCUGGACCACAGACAGCCCCAGAGAGCUGAGUCCUCUGUCACCAGCAUGCAGACGAGAACAAACCCUCUCUCACACUCCAUAAUCUGAGAAUCAUUCCUGGAACAGAAAAACAGAUGCUGAAUGAGAGCAGAGGACAGACAGACAGGCAAAAACAUGAAGGUGUUUGUAUCGAUGGAGACAGAGUGGCUACCCAGCAGUGACAGGUACCGGACGGCUGAGAGCCCGGCGUGUAGCCUUUAACUUACCUCAGAAGAUGAAUUGACCCAGCUGCUUCAUAAAAUAACUAGUCGGUCUUUUAGUGAAAUUGUUCCCAUGAUGGAUCUAUGCUUUUAUGUCAAAACUGUCAUUUUUCCACUAAACUAAAACGACUCGCCAUGAUUUCAUGUGCUCUGAAGGACUUCACAUUA